This 29-nucleotide non-coding RNA is filed under the name Mus musculus (house mouse). The record is from RNAcentral. Lineage: Eukaryota; Metazoa; Chordata; Mammalia; Rodentia; Muridae.
UGGGAACGAGGCAGGAUACAACCCAGUGA